Molecule: ribosomal RNA, 253 nt
Filed under: uncultured bacterium
Lineage: Bacteria
Description: partial 16S ribosomal RNA
Rfam family: Bacterial small subunit ribosomal RNA
Source: RNAcentral
UACGGGGGGGGCAAGCGUUGUUCGGAAUUACUGGGCGUAAAGGGCUCGUAGGCGGCCAACUAAGUCGGAUGUGAAAUCCCCAGGCUCAACCUGGGAACUGCAUCCGAUACUGGAUGGCUUGAAUUCGGGAGAGGGAUGCAGAAUUCCAGGUGUAGCGGUGAAAUGCGUAGAUAUCUGGAGGAACACCGGUGGCGAAGGCGCCACUCUGGGCCGGUACUGACGCUGAGGAGCGAAAGCGUGGGUAGCAAACAGG